CGCAUGCCUCCUAUGCGGAUCAAACAUGUGAUCAAAAUUGAAGCCCUUGAAUUUGCACACCUAGCAUCAAUGGCCAAGCUUCAAGUUGCUCUCACGUGAGAAUUUUGGCCAAAAUCUCCCCUGAGCCCUUCGCAGCUUCCUCUUUUAUUUGCCUCUGCAUUUCCCCUUUCCAUUCCUGAGAUCUUUGGCCAAAUUUCCCCUUCCCCUUUGCAGCUUUCUCUUCUAUUUGCCUUUGCAUUUUCCCUUUCCAUUUGUGAGAUCUUUGGCCAAAUUUCCCCUUCUCCUUUGCAGCUUUCUCUUCUAUUUGCCUCUGCAUUUCCCCUUUCCAUUCGUGAGAUCUUUAGCCAAAUUUCCCCUUCCUCUUCGCAGCUUCCUCUUCUAUUUGCCUCCGCAUUUCCCCUUCCCAUUCGCAGCUUCCUCUUCUAUUUUCCUCUACUUCCACACUUCCACCAUUACAGUGACAUUGCAAGCCACUGAUCUCCAGCUCGCGGGAAAGCCGUUCAGCCCCAUCCGUUCUAGCCAUUCUCCUCUGCUGCUUCCAUCGGCCACCAGAUUCUCUAGUGCUUCCACCAUCGGGAGUAUAUAGAAAUCACAGCUGGAGAUUAGUUGUGUAAGCAUGGCAACAAGUACUAAUGAUGUUCAACCAAUCCGGAUGUGCUCAUGUGGGCAAUAUAUGCAUUUAAAAACAUCAAGGAGAGAUAAGAAUCUAAAUCGUCAAUUCUGGAAAUGCUUAGAUGGAGAACAGAAAAAAAGAUGUGGUAGAUUCAUUUGGACAAAAGAAGGUGAAGCUAAACUAGAAAAAAUUGAUGUACUUAUCGGUGAAGUUCGUCGUUUAUCUUUGGAAGUGGAGAAAUCUAAUAAUAUUCUUGAAGCAAUUCAGAAAAAUACUAAGAGGAGCGACUAAUAUGACAUUAAGACGGUCAUAUUCCUUCUACUUUUAUUAUUUAUUUUCUUUAAAAUGUUAGCCUAGUAGUGUAGUCAAGUAAGAUAUAUGUAUGUUCGAUUAGUAAACUAAUCAUGUAGUAAAUUCGACCUUAUGCUUGUGAAGCACCAUAUGUAUCCUAUUAAGCUCGCUGUAUGUUUUGUUGAAAUUGUCUGUUAUAAUUAACUAUGCAAUAUGAUGUGUCAAGUAUGUUGAACUGUUUGGUGAAUUGAUUUGCAUUUUAUUCCCUUUAUAUUGCUGAUGUGGUUCACAUAAUUGUAGCCCUUUGGUGUGGGUUGCAUGCUUUCAUUGAUGAUUUUUAUAGGUUCCUGUUUCAAAUGUAUUCAUUAUCAGUACUGGUAUUAACCCUAAAGCCAAAUCAUAUUACCUUUUUGAUGGCUAUGCACAUCUCUUUUCUGGGCUUGCUUGUGGUUUUGUUGGGCUUACGGUUGGAAUGGCAAUUGGUAUAGUUGGUGACGCUGGUGUCAGGGCAAUGGCAGGUCAUGCUUAAAGAAGCAGAUGGCUCUUAUGCUAGUGCUUGUGCAAGCUGACACAUCUAGAAUGGUUUCAAUCCUUCGGAGCAAAAAUCCAUAAGCUAUGAUGUAGACUAUUUUAAAGUGCAGAUUGAUUGAUCUGGAGAAAAGGUGCUAUGAACCAUCUGGUGCUUGAGCUCAUUGCAGGCUUUAGCCUUCAUACUAGUGACAAUGUGACUGUUGAAGCAAGUUGGUUGUUGAAUUGUACCAUGAACCCAUUUUAAAUGUACCAGAAAAGUUAAUGUUGACAAAUGUUGCCAAAUGAAUGUAUAGGUUCCUGUUGUAGCUCACUACCUUUGAAAGGGUAACUUGGAUGUUUAUGUUGUGAACAAAUUACUGAAAGUUAAGUUCUAUAAAUUCUUUUCCAAUUGUAUUC
Long non-coding RNA from Ziziphus jujuba (common jujube), 1831 nucleotides. RefSeq lists it as uncharacterized. The transcript has 5 exons. NCBI's taxonomy places the organism in Eukaryota, Viridiplantae, Streptophyta, Magnoliopsida, Rosales, Rhamnaceae. The record is from RefSeq and is a predicted model, not a curated record.